UACGUAGGGUGCGAGCGUUGUCCGGAAUUAUUGGGCGUAAAGAGCUUGUAGGCGGUCUGUCGCGUCUGCUGUGAAAACCCGAGGCUCAACCUCGGGCCUGCAGUGGGUACGGGCAGACUAGAGUGCGGUAGGGGGAGAUUGGAAUUCCUGGUGUAGCGGUGGAAUGCGCAGAUAUCAGGAGGAACACCAAUGGCGAAGGCAGAUCUCUGGGCCGUAACUGACGCUGAGGAGCGAAAGCAUGGGGAGCGAACAGG
Molecule: ribosomal RNA, 254 nt
Filed under: uncultured bacterium
Lineage: Bacteria
Description: partial 16S ribosomal RNA
Rfam family: Bacterial small subunit ribosomal RNA
Source: RNAcentral